Molecule: ribosomal RNA, 253 nt
Filed under: uncultured bacterium
Lineage: Bacteria
Description: partial 16S ribosomal RNA
Rfam family: Bacterial small subunit ribosomal RNA
Source: RNAcentral
UACGUAGGGGGCAAGCGUUGUCCGGAAUUACUGGGCGUAAAGGGCGCGUAGGCGGCCAACUAAGUCAGACGUGAAAUCCCUCGGCUCAACCGGGGAACUGCGUCUGAUACUGGAUGGCUUGAAUUCGGGAGAGGGAUGCGGAAUUCCAGGUGUAGCGGUGAAAUGCGUAGAUAUCUGGAGGAACACCGGUGGCGAAGGCGGCAUCCUGGACCGAUACUGACGCUGAGGAGCGAAAGCGUGGGGAGCGAACAGG